GUGGGGAAUUUUGGACAAUGGGCGCAAGCCUGAUCCAGCAAUGCCGCGUGCAGGAAGAAGGCCUUCGGGUUGUAAACUGCUUUUGUACGGAACGAAACGGUCCUGGUUAAUACCUGGGGCUAAUGACGGUACCGUAAGAAUAAGCACCGGCUAACUACGUGCCAGCAGCCGCGGUAAUACGUAGGGUGCGAGCGUUAAUCGGAAUUACUGGGCGUAAAGCGUGCGCAGGCGGUUGUGUAAGACAGGUGUGAAAUCCCCGGGCUUAACCUGGGAACUGCGCUUGUGACUGCACGGCUAGAGUAUGGCAGAGGGGGGUGGAAUUCCACGUGUAGCAGUGAAAUGCGUAGAUAUGCGGAGGAACACCGAUGGCGAAGGCAAUCCCCUGGGCCUGUACUGACGCUCAUGCACGAAAGCGUGGGGAGCAAACAGGAUUAGAUACCCUAGUAGUCC
Molecule: ribosomal RNA, 450 nt
Filed under: uncultured bacterium
Lineage: Bacteria
Description: partial 16S ribosomal RNA
Rfam family: Bacterial small subunit ribosomal RNA
Source: RNAcentral